GAGGGUAUAGCUCAAACAGUAAAGUGCAUGCUUGGUAUGCAUGAGGUCCUGGGUUCAAUUCCCAGAACCUCCU
Molecule: transfer RNA, 73 nt
Filed under: Camelus bactrianus (Bactrian camel)
Lineage: Eukaryota; Metazoa; Chordata; Mammalia; Artiodactyla; Camelidae
Also listed under: 2 other names
Rfam family: tRNA
About the family: Transfer RNA (tRNA) molecules are approximately 80 nucleotides in length. Their secondary structure includes four short double-helical elements and three loops (D, anti-codon, and T loops). Further hydrogen bonds mediate the characteristic L-shaped molecular structure. tRNAs have two regions of fundamental functional importance: the anti-codon, which is responsible for specific mRNA codon recognition, and the 3' end, to which the tRNAs corresponding amino acid is attached (by aminoacyl-tRNA synthetases). tRNAs cope with the degeneracy of the genetic code in two manners: having more than one tRNA (with a specific anti-codon) for a particular amino acid; and 'wobble' base-pairing, i.e. permitting non-standard base-pairing at the 3rd anti-codon position.
Source: Rfam by way of RNAcentral